This 66-nucleotide transfer RNA is filed under the name Ligula intestinalis. RNAcentral describes it as "tRNA-Tyr". Lineage: Eukaryota; Metazoa; Platyhelminthes; Cestoda; Diphyllobothriidea; Diphyllobothriidae. RNAcentral also lists the same sequence under 2 other names. The record is from RNAcentral.
UCUGGUUUAGCAUAUAAAAAUGCAAAGGAUUGUAAAUCCUUGUAAAGCUUGAUAAGCUAGCUAGGU